Non-coding RNA from Testicularia cyperi, 129 nucleotides. Lineage: Eukaryota; Fungi; Basidiomycota; Ustilaginomycetes; Ustilaginales; Anthracoideaceae. The record is from the annotation of a GenBank genome assembly.
GCCCCUAUGGCGUAGUGGUAGCGCGUGUGACUUGUACACGCCAACGCAAUUUUAAGCGUUGACAGAAUUCCACCGAUUCGGCUGCGAUGCACAAUCACAAGGUCACUAGUUCAAACCUGGUUGGGGGCA